CGGGUGAGUAAUGUAUGGGGAUCUGCCUGAUGGAGGGGGAUAACUACUGGAAACGGUAGCUAAUACCGCAUAACGUCGCAAGACCAAAGAGGGGGACCUUAGGGCCUCUUGCCAUCGGAUGUGCCCAGAUGGGAUUAGCUAGUAGGUGGGGUAACGGCUCACCUAGGCGACGAUCCCUAGCUGGUCUGAGAGGAUGACCAGCCACACUGGAACUGAGACACGGUCCAG
Molecule: ribosomal RNA, 228 nt
Filed under: uncultured bacterium
Lineage: Bacteria
Description: partial 16S ribosomal RNA
Rfam family: Bacterial small subunit ribosomal RNA
Source: RNAcentral